UGGGGAAUAUUGCGCAAUGGGGGCAACCCUGACGCAGCCAUGCCGCGUGAAUGAAGAAGGCCUUCGGGUUGUAAAGUUCUUUCGGUGACGAGGAAGGCGUGAUGUUUAAUAGGCAUCACGAUUGACGUUAAUCACAGAAGAAGCACCGGCUAACUCCGUGCCAGCAGCCGCGGUAAUACGGAGGGUGCGAGCGUUAAUCGGAAUAACUGGGCGUAAAGGGCACGCAGGCGGCUAUUUAAGUGAGGUGUGAAAUCCCCGGGCUUAACCUGGGAAUUGCAUUUCAGACUGGGUAGCUAGAGUACUUUAGGGAGGGGUAGAAUUCCACGUGUAGCGGUGAAAUGCGUAGAGAUGUGGAGGAAUACCGAAGGCGAAGGCAGCCCCUUGGGAAUGUACUGACGCUCAUGUGCGAAAGCGUGGGGAGCAAACAGGAUUAGAUACCCUGGUAGUCCACGCCGUAAACGAUGAGUGCUAGGUGUUAGACCCUUUCCGGGGUUUAGUGCCGUAGCUAACGCAUUAAGCACUCCGCCUGGGGAGUACGACCGCAAGGUUG
Molecule: ribosomal RNA, 550 nt
Filed under: uncultured bacterium
Lineage: Bacteria
Description: bacterial SSU rRNA
Rfam family: Bacterial small subunit ribosomal RNA
Source: RNAcentral